Molecule: ribosomal RNA, 253 nt
Filed under: uncultured bacterium
Lineage: Bacteria
Description: partial 16S ribosomal RNA
Rfam family: Bacterial small subunit ribosomal RNA
Source: RNAcentral
UACGUAGGGGGCAAGCGUUGUCCGGAAUUAUUGGGCGUAAAGAGCGUGUAGGCGGUCCGGUAAGUCUGAUGUGAAAGCCCACGGCUCAACCGUGGAGGGUCAUUGGAAACUGGGAGACUUGAGUGCAGAAGAGAAGAGUGGAAUUCCACGUGUAGCGGUGAAAUGCGUAGAGAUGUGGAGGAACACCAGUGGCGAAGGCGACUCUUUGGUCUGUAACUGACGCUGAGGCGCGAAAGCGUGGGGAGCAAACAGG